UUGUGGUGUCAAAACCAUUUUCGAAAGAGCGUGGAAUAGUAGAGUUCUUCUUCCUUUUAUUCCAAAAUGAGGGCUACGCGGCCGAAUCCUUCAAUCCGAGGCGAUCGAAGUGAGGCAGAGUUUCGUCCUGAGCAAUGAAGAUAGAGACCAAUCACUUUGAUCGUGGUUGUUCUAGCCAAGCCGCUUCGGAUCCAGCUAGCCCUUGAAAGGAUUAACUAAACAUAUCAUUACUUAAGCAAAGGUCUCGGCGUCCCCGACCUUGGGGCCUAGUCGCUGGCUUGAUGGCUAAUCAUCAGUCUAUGGUACUAAAGACCUUACCGGUCGGGUAAAGCUUGCGCGAAGGGAUUCGUUGAACAUAGUUCAACUCAUUCACUCUAAUAGUAGAAG
Molecule: long non-coding RNA, 387 nt
Filed under: Nicotiana benthamiana
Lineage: Eukaryota; Viridiplantae; Streptophyta; Magnoliopsida; Solanales; Solanaceae
Description: long non-coding RNA (NBEN_LNC027385)
Source: RNAcentral